RNAcentral lists this transfer RNA (64 nucleotides) under Calantica studeri. Its description in RNAcentral is "tRNA-Pro". The record is from RNAcentral. Lineage: Eukaryota; Metazoa; Arthropoda; Thecostraca; Calanticomorpha; Calanticidae.
CAGAAACUAGUUUAAUUUAAAAUUUAGGUUUUGGAAAUCUAGGAUGUCUUUUUGGUGUUUCUGA